GGACCCUCUAUCUGCUUGUAAACUGACAAGUGGAUGGAGAGUGGGACUGGAUCAGGGGCUCACGGACAGACGUGUCCUGGUUUUCUCUGUGGUGUCCGAGGGUUUUUGGAGUUUCCAGCUGAUAAGUUAGUCCUGGACUCCGCUCCUCCUCCUCCUACAUGCUCCAGUCCCAGUCCAUUAAGAAGAGUAUGCCAUGGGUGACGCUGCUGCUGAAAUCUGACCAGGCAGCAACAGAGAGAUACCAAAAAAAUUAAACAUCCACUGAUGCUCCACAAAACGAAAUGCGAUCCAGUCCAGUAAGAAGACCACCGGUGUGCCCUGGUGCUGCUGAAAUCUGACCAGGCAGCAAAAGGGAGAUGAGAAACCAAGAAUUAAAGGCCCACUGCCGGUGCACAGAAGGAAAUGUGCUCCAGUCCAGUAAAAGUCAGAUAAAGAGACACUGGCUCUCCCUCCAGAUGCCCAGAGAAAGAAAUGCCAGGAAAAAAAAGAGGACAUUGUUGAAGCCAUGGCUCAUGUGACCAGCCUGACUGAAACCUUCGACAGCUCCACAGACACAGCUGGAGUAGUUCGGUUAAGGUUGUCAAAGAGUAUGGGCCACAAUGACUGACAUAAACACAGCGAUGAGAAAAUCAAAUCAAGCUGGACUUCCACAAGAUCAGCAUAAAGAUAAGAUAAAAUGUUCCUCAUCAUACGUCACUCCAGCCAGACAAGAAGGAAAGCAGUUUGAAGUACGCUGAGUAGAGAGGACAAUGCACAGUCCAGAAUUACCACUGGACUAAGUUCUGCCCGCAUGAUGCAGGCCAGCAGCUGAACAGCAAGACCAGACCGAAUCAUGUAGGACUCUCCUAGUCCGCAUGACCAUCACCUUAGGACUACAGAGGUCUGAAACAAGAUGCGAUGAGACCCUCAAAGUUCUGAGUUUGAUUAGUCCAGAAACUGCUGCUGGAGUAAGGAAGAGUUGUAUUUCACAUCAUGCAAGACAGACAGCACGACAGAGCAUGCUUAACAUAAAAGAUCAACACCAAAACAACUGUCAAAAGAAAAUGAUUGGUGCUGUAUCAAGCCAUCCUGGUACGAAGAAACGGACAGUACAGAGGAAGGGGGCAAAAGGCAAAAGUGGACAUUGGAAAAGAGAUGUUGCACAAUUUCUAAAACAGACUGGCAAGAAAAAAAAGAAAAUAAAUGGACUGAGCUGAAGAGGGAGGGACGGAGCCUAGUGACAGGAUCCAGCCAAAAACACACUGGAGGCUGUACGGAAGAACCAAGCUGCUAGCGCAUCGGACAACAAGAUUAACCAGCACGCCAUCCGCUGGUUCAACCUGGCCUCUGACCAUGGAGGUGGCCGCAAAGAACGUGCCAUGGCCAGUGAGGCAUUAACCGUGGUAAAUUUUAGAUAAAUCACCGUGCUAGUG
Micropterus dolomieu (smallmouth bass) is the source of this 1412-nucleotide long non-coding RNA. RefSeq lists it as uncharacterized. The transcript has 3 exons. NCBI's taxonomy places the organism in Eukaryota, Metazoa, Chordata, Actinopteri, Centrarchiformes, Centrarchidae. The record is from RefSeq and is a predicted model, not a curated record.